Molecule: ribosomal RNA, 532 nt
Filed under: Aspergillus terreus
Lineage: Eukaryota; Fungi; Ascomycota; Eurotiomycetes; Eurotiales; Aspergillaceae
Description: eukaryotic LSU rRNA
Rfam family: 5.8S ribosomal RNA (bases 213-366)
Source: RNAcentral
UGGUGAACCUGCGGAAGGAUCAUUACCGAGUGCGGGUCUUUAUGGCCCAACCUCCCACCCGUGACUAUUGUACCUUGUUGCUUCGGCGGGCCCGCCAGCGUUGCUGGCCGCCGGGGGGCGACUCGCCCCCGGGCCCGUGCCCGCCGGAGACCCCAACAUGAACCCUGUUCUGAAAGCUUGCAGUCUGAGUGUGAUUCUUUGCAAUCAGUUAAAACUUUCAACAAUGGAUCUCUUGGUUCCGGCAUCGAUGAAGAACGCAGCGAAAUGCGAUAACUAAUGUGAAUUGCAGAAUUCAGUGAAUCAUCGAGUCUUUGAACGCACAUUGCGCCCCCUGGUAUUCCGGGGGGCAUGCCUGUCCGAGCGUCAUUGCUGCCCUCAAGCCCGGCUUGUGUGUUGGGCCCUCGUCCCCCGGCUCCCGGGGGACGGGCCCGAAAGGCAGCGGCGGCACCGCGUCCGGUCCUCGAGCGUAUGGGGCUUCGUCUUCCGCUCCGUAGGCCCGGCCGGCGCCCGCCGACGCAUUUAUUUGCAACUU